AAAACCCGCAUCAUGUGGGAAUAAAUCAGGCUGUGUGUGAUAAAAUACCCGGAAAACAAUGGCGUAAACCAGAGCAGGAGCCGGGGCCCAGCUGUGGCAGGACAUCCACACGUGCCUACGGGAUGCUUCCAGGUCCCCUUCCAGUCAAGCAGAAGCCCAGGACACAUGGCUGCAGCUCGACCAGUGCGUGGGGAAAAUGAGCCCCCCUUCUUCACAGGUUCCCCAACACCUCAGAAGUCCAGGAAGACACAGUGAUGAUUCACAUGUUUUGCCAAAGAGGGAGGAUUUCAUGGAGUCUCCAAAUGAUCACGAUAGCAUCCCAGCCAUUAGGGAUACUAAGCCAAGCACUGAAGCUGGCAGAGAAGCCCUCAUCUUUGAGAGGAGUAGGAAGCAAAACAUAUACUCUAUGUCUAGAAUUAGAAUCCAUACUGGAACGCUGCUCCUAUACAUCAAUCCGAACCCCAGCCUCCUCCCCCCACUCACUAGAGGCAGGACGGUGUGGGUUCAGCCUCAGCUCAGGUACUCACUAGCCAGAAGACCAGAAAGCGCCUACCUCCCUGAGCACCAAUCUCUUAAUCUAGAACAUGAAGGUCACAUCCUUCUCCUGCCUCCGUCCCCAAAGUGAGCUAAGCUCAGAAGAACCAAGCCCAAGCAAGUAUUUAGAAAAUUGAUCCACUGAACAGUUCUUCCAUUGCAAGUCAGAUUCUUCAACGAAUUCUUUAAUUGAACUAUUUGUUAACUAAUAUCAUGUGUUGGCUUUUGGUUUUACUAUGUUUUAGUACAAAUAUCCAGGGACAAACUCUUCAGCUGAAUACAUCUGAGAAGUAAACUGUUCAAUUGCUUCUGUAUUUUUCUCUAUCCUGGUUAAGACAUCUUGAGAGGUGAAGCCAGCUGGGCUUUUGGGUUGGGGGAACUUGGAGAACUUUUCUGUCUAGCUAAAGGAUUGUAAAUGCACCAAUCAGCAUUCUGUAAAAUGGGCCAAUCAGCACUCUGUAAAA
This is a long non-coding RNA of Chlorocebus sabaeus (green monkey), 998 nucleotides long. RefSeq lists it as uncharacterized. The record is from RefSeq and is a predicted model, not a curated record. NCBI's taxonomy places the organism in Eukaryota, Metazoa, Chordata, Mammalia, Primates, Cercopithecidae.